RNAcentral lists this ribosomal RNA (253 nucleotides) under uncultured bacterium. Its description in RNAcentral is "partial 16S ribosomal RNA". It matches the Rfam family "Bacterial small subunit ribosomal RNA", at positions 524 to 776 of the family's 1533-position model. The record is from RNAcentral.
UACAGAGGUCUCAAGCGUUGUUCGGAUUCAUUGGGCGUAAAGGGCGCGUAGGCUGCGGGGCAAGUCGGGUGUGAAAUCUCAGAGCUCAACUCUGAAACUGCACUCGAUACUGCCUUGCUUGAGGACUGGAGAGGAGAUUGGAAUUCACGGUGUAGCAGUGAAAUGCGUAGAUAUCGUGAGGAAGACCAGUGGCGAAGGCGGAUCUCUGGACAGUUCCUGACGCUGAGGCGCGAAGGCCAGGGGAGCAAACGGG